RNAcentral lists this ribosomal RNA (403 nucleotides) under uncultured bacterium. Its description in RNAcentral is "partial 16S ribosomal RNA". It matches the Rfam family "Bacterial small subunit ribosomal RNA", at positions 28 to 526 of the family's 1533-position model. The record is from RNAcentral.
GACGAACGCUGGCGGCGUGCCUAAUACAUUCAAGUCGAACGCAGUGGGGACGGUUGCGUAACACGUGGGUAACCUCCCAUCAGAGGGGAUAACACUUGGAAACAGGUGCUAAACCGCAACUGAUGGAUGGAACCGCAGUGCAUUAGCUAGUUGGUGAGGUAACGGCUCACCAAGGCCACGAUGCAUAGCCGGCCUGAGAGGGUGAGCGGCCACACUGGGACUGAGACACGGCCCAGACUCCUACGGGAGGCAGCAGUAGGGAAUAUGCGGCAAUGGGCGAAAGUCUGACGGAGCAACGCCGCGUGAGUGAAGAAGGUUUUCGGAUCGUAAAACUCUGUUGGUGGGGAAGCGGUAUCUAACGAGAAAGCAACGGCUAACUACGUGCCAGCAGCCGCGGUAAUAC